This 224-nucleotide long non-coding RNA is filed under the name Lathyrus oleraceus (garden pea). RNAcentral's name for it is "Pisum sativum (pea) long non-coding RNA (PSAT_LNC034463)". The record is from RNAcentral. Lineage: Eukaryota; Viridiplantae; Streptophyta; Magnoliopsida; Fabales; Fabaceae.
GAAUAAUUAGGGUUUUAGGGCAUAGGAAAAAAGCAACAAGCAAACCCAAGGCAAGACCUCCCAAGCUUGGGUUUCACACCUUAAGCAAGGAUUAGAUGGAACACCAGUGGUGAGUACCCCUAACUAGGGUUUAUUGGGUCAAAAGGUGAAAUCAAGAACCAAAGCCAGACAACUAGGGUUUAGGGGUGGAUGAGGUAUCAUGAUGUAGAUUCACAAGGUUAAAG